This 33-nucleotide ribosomal RNA is filed under the name Purpureocillium lilacinum. RNAcentral's name for it is "partial 18S ribosomal RNA". The record is from RNAcentral. Lineage: Eukaryota; Fungi; Ascomycota; Sordariomycetes; Hypocreales; Ophiocordycipitaceae.
UUUCCGUAGGGUGAACCUGCGGAGGGAUCAUUA